Molecule: ribosomal RNA, 747 nt
Filed under: Cytobacillus oceanisediminis
Lineage: Bacteria; Bacillati; Bacillota; Bacilli; Caryophanales; Bacillaceae
Description: bacterial SSU rRNA
Rfam family: Bacterial small subunit ribosomal RNA
Source: RNAcentral
UCCGGGAAACCGGGGCUAAUACCGGAUAAUUCUUUCCCUCACAUGAGGGAAAGCUGAAAGAUGGUUUCGGCUAUCACUUACAGAUGGGCCCGCGGCGCAUUAGCUAGUUGGUGAGGUAACGGCUCACCAAGGCAACGAUGCGUAGCCGACCUGAGAGGGUGAUCGGCCACACUGGGACUGAGACACGGCCCAGACUCCUACGGGAGGCAGCAGUAGGGAAUCUUCCGCAAUGGACGAAAGUCUGACGGAGCAACGCCGCGUGAGUGAUGAAGGUUUUCGGAUCGUAAAACUCUGUUGUUAGGGAAGAACAAGUACCGGAGUAACUGCCGGUACCUUGACGGUACCUAACCAGAAAGCCACGGCUAACUACGUGCCAGCAGCCGCGGUAAUACGUAGGUGGCAAGCGUUGUCCGGAAUUAUUGGGCGUAAAGCGCGCGCAGGCGGUUCCUUAAGUCUGAUGUGAAAGCCCCCGGCUCAACCGGGGAGGGUCAUUGGAAACUGGGGAACUUGAGUGCAGAAGAGAAGAGUGGAAUUCCACGUGUAGCGGUGAAAUGCGUAGAGAUGUGGAGGAACACCAGUGGCGAAGGCGACUCUUUGGUCUGUAACUGACGCUGAGGCGCGAAAGCGUGGGGGAGCAAACAGGAUUAGAUACCCUGGUAGUCCACGCCGUAAACGAUGAGUGCUAAGUGUUAGAGGGUUUCCGCCCUUUAGUGCUGCAGCCAACGCAUUAAGCACUCCGCCUGGGGG